This 253-nucleotide ribosomal RNA is filed under the name uncultured bacterium. RNAcentral describes it as "partial 16S ribosomal RNA". It matches the Rfam family "Bacterial small subunit ribosomal RNA", at positions 524 to 776 of the family's 1533-position model. The record is from RNAcentral.
UACAGAGGGGGCAAGCGUUGUUCGGAAUUACUGGGCGUAAAGGGCGCGUAGGCGGCCCGCUAAGUCGAACGUGAAAUCCCCGGGCUCAACCCGGGAACUGCGUCCGAUACUGGUGGGCUUGAAUCCGGGAGAGGGAUGCGGAAUUCCAGGUGUAGCGGUGAAAUGCGUAGAUAUCUGGAGGAACACCGGUGGCGAAGGCGGCAUCCUGGACCGGUACUGACGCUGAUGCACGAAAGCUAGGGGAGCGAACGGG